AGGGUGGUUUGGGAUCCCACCGGCACGCCCCAGGCGUGUCCGGGUCCUGUGCACCCCGCGGGGGGGUCCCCAAGGGGGGGUUUAAGCGCUGCGCCCCCGAUUUCCCCGCUCUGAGGAUGCUGGCGGGGCUGGGGGCAAGACCCCUGCGAAGCAGAAACAGCACCGACCUCCCCCUCUGUGGGGUUUUAAUGCACCCCCCGGGCCCUUUUCACGAGUGGGGGCACUGGAGGGACCCCAUGGGGAUGGGGUUUUGGGGUCGGCACCUUCCCAGGGUGGGCGCUUCGGGGGUUUGUGCCCUGAUGAGUUUCGGGUCCUGGUUUGGGCCCCUUGGGUUGUGGGGCAGAAGGUUGGGAUUUUGGGGCACACUAUGGGGCACACGAGCUCCUGCUGUGAGUUUUGCAGGGGCGAAAACCCCCCAAAAAACAGGCGGGGAAGAGGGAAAUGAAAUCCCCUACCGCCGAUUUCUCCGCAGAUCACAGAGGGAUCCUAGAAAACCGCCUUGCACCCAGGCCAGGGCCGGCCGGGAGAGGGGGAUUUUGGCCGGAGGACUCACUCUUGGGACUGAUUUAGGUUUAAGCAGCAGAUUCCCCAGGCUGAACCCCUCGGCCGGGCUGAAUUUAGCAGCAGAGAUAACCGGGAGAUAAGGGCUGAUACCCGGCGGGACAGCGGGAGCCGAGGGAAGGGGGAGAAGCCGGAGGCAGAGCCCCGUGGCGCGUUGGGAGCGGCAGCUGCGGAUCCAGAUGUGCCGCCAUCCCAAGGGACGCGCAUCUCCCUGCAAAACCCACCGGAUUUAUUUUUUUUUAGGGGAAACUUCGUUGAUUUUUUACGGAAUCUCGUCCCUUUAUUUAAAAAAAAUAAUAACAAUAAUGAUAAGAGGGAGAAAAUUUUCAAUUAAAAGCUCUUAAAGCCUCCGGAGCAGCCCUGCCGGGAGCAGAGAGGUUUCAGGGACCUGCCUUGGCUUCGCCCCAAAAGCGCUGAGCUCAGCCCCGGCAGGAUGGAUCUAUGGGGAAGGGACGGACCCGUUCCUUUUUUAACCUUUUUUUUGACAAGAAAACGAAAAAAAUAUAUAUAAAAAAAUAAAAGCAGAGGUCGGGAU
Non-coding RNA from Anas platyrhynchos (mallard), 1096 nucleotides. Lineage: Eukaryota; Metazoa; Chordata; Aves; Anseriformes; Anatidae. The record is from RefSeq and is a predicted model, not a curated record.